UCGAACGGGGCGAGGGGCAACCCUUGCUUAGUGGCGAACGGGUGAGUAAUGCAUCGGAACGUGUCCCGUAGUGGGGGAUAGCCCGGGGAAACCCGGAUUAAUACCGCAUAUGCUCCACGGAGGAAAGUGGGGGCUCCGCAAGGACCUCACGCUAUGGGAGCGGCCGAUGCCGGAUUAGCUAGUUGGUGAGGUAAAGGCUUACCAAGGCGACGAUCCGUAGCUGGUCUGAGAGGAUGAUCAGCCACACUGGGACUGAGACACGGCCCAGACUCCUACGGGAGGCAGCAGUGGGGAAUUUUGGACAAUGGGGGCAACCCUGAUCCAGCCAUGCCGCGUGAGUGAAGAAGGCCUUCGGGUUGUAAAGCUCUUUCGGCCGGAAAGAAAGCCUCACCCUGAAUAGGGGUGGGGGUUGACGGUACCGGCAGAAGAAGCACCGGCUAACUACGUGCCAGCAGCCGCGGUAUUACGUAGGGUGCGAGCGUUAAUCGGAAUUACUGGGCGUAAAGCGUGCGCAGGCGGUUAUUUAAGCUUGCUGUGAAAGCCCCGGGCUUAACCCGGGAAUGGCAGUGAGGACUGGAUAACUGGAGUGUGGCAGAGGGGGGUGGAAUUCCACGUGUAGCAGUGAAAUGCGUAGAGAUGUGGAGGAACACCGACGGCGAAGGCAGCCCCCUGGGCUA
RNAcentral lists this ribosomal RNA (677 nucleotides) under uncultured bacterium. Its description in RNAcentral is "bacterial SSU rRNA". It matches the Rfam family "Bacterial small subunit ribosomal RNA", at positions 62 to 736 of the family's 1533-position model. The record is from RNAcentral.